UAAGGUUAAGUUAAUAAGGGCGCACGGUGGAUGCCUUGGCACUAGGAGCCGACGAAGGACGUGACAAACGACGAUAUGCCUUGGGUAGCUGUAAGUAAGCGAUGAUCCAGGGAUUUCCGAAUGGGGGAACCCAACAGGUAAUACCUGUUACCCACAUCUGUUAAGGAUGUGAGGAGGAAGACGCAGUGAACUGAAACAUCUAAGUAGCUGCAGGAAGAGAAAGCAAAAGCGAUUGCCUUAGUAGCGGCGAGCGAAACGGCAGAAGGGCAAACCGAAGAGUUUACUCUUCGGGGUUGUAGGACUGCAAUGUGGACUCAAAGAUUAUAGAAGAAUGAUUUGGGAAGAUCAGCCAAAGAGAGUAAUAGCCUCGUAUUUAAAAUAGUCUUUGUACCUAGCAGUAUCCUGAGUACGGCGGGACACGUGAAAUCCCGUCGGAAUCUGGGAGGACCAUCUCCCAACCCUAAAUACUCCCUAGUGACCGAUAGUGAACCAGUACCGUGAGGGAAAGGUGAAAAGCACCCCGGGAGGGGAGUGAAAUAGAACCUGAAACCGUGUGCCUACAACAAGUUCGAGCCCGUUAAUGGGUGAGAGCGUGCCUUUUGUAGAAUGAACCGGCGAGUUACGUUAUGAUGCGAGGUUAAGUUGAAGAGACGGAGCCGUAGGGAAACCGAGUCUGAAUAGGGCGCCUUAGUAUCAUGACGUAGACCCGAAACCAUGUGACCUACCCAUGAGCAGGUUGAAGGUGCGGUAAGACGCACUGGAGGACCGAACCAGGGCACGUUGAAAAGUGCUUGGAUGACUUGUGGGUAGCGGAGAAAUUCCAAACGAACUUGGAGAUAGCUGGUUCUCUCCGAAAUAGCUUUAGGGCUAGCGUCGACAUUAGAGAUUCUUGGAGGUAGAGCACUGUUUGGGUGAGGGGUCCAUCCCGGAUUACCAAUCUCAGAUAAACUCCGAAUGCCAAUGAAUUAUGGUCGGCAGUCAGACUGCGAGUGCUAAGAUCCGUAGUCGAAAGGGAAACAGCCCAGACCACCAGCUAAGGUCCCAAAAUAAUUGUUAAGUGGAAAAGGAUGUGGGGUUGCACAGACAACUAGGAUGUUAGCUUAGAAGCAGCUAUUCAUUCAAAGAGUGCGUAAUAGCUCACUAG
Molecule: ribosomal RNA, 1144 nt
Filed under: Streptococcus pneumoniae
Lineage: Bacteria; Bacillati; Bacillota; Bacilli; Lactobacillales; Streptococcaceae
Description: bacterial LSU rRNA
Rfam family: Bacterial large subunit ribosomal RNA
Source: RNAcentral